ACUGCGCGAGUAACCAUAGUUACUUGGAAUCAAGAUCGCGUAGUUCGUGAACGGAAUCCGCCAUUUUGAAGUGUCGGCUUUGCAUUGGUUUUUCCCAUCUUCGCUGGUGAAUCCGACAAUCUAGAGGAAGACAUCAAAAGAAGGCUUUUGAAUGCUUUGGAAACAAUUUCUCCAAGAAGUAGAUGAAUUUACGGACAAACGUAAUCCCCCAAAGCAGUUGUUAGGGCUGGCAUCCAAACAUUCUUGAGCCAUGGAAACCAAAAGUGGAAUGUUUUGCUUAACACCUACUUUGAACAGAAUUUUACCAAGGGAAAAAAUAUCACUGGCUUCAUUAAUUCUUUGCAGGAGGAAAGGAGCUGUCACAUGCUUUUCCAAAAUCGAUGAUGUAGCCAUGUUUGUUACUCACAAGAAAAUUAUUAGCCUUCAAAUCACAGUGAAGAAAGCCUUUUGUGUGAAUAUGUGAAAGGGCUUCUGUCAAAUCAU
Long non-coding RNA from Pocillopora verrucosa, 483 nucleotides. RefSeq lists it as uncharacterized. The record is from RefSeq and is a predicted model, not a curated record. NCBI's taxonomy places the organism in Eukaryota, Metazoa, Cnidaria, Anthozoa, Scleractinia, Pocilloporidae.